UACGUAGGGUGCAAGCGUUAAUCGGAAUUACUGGGCGUAAAGCGUGCGCAGGCGGCGCGUUUAAGACAGGUGUGAAAGCCCCGAGCUUAACUUGGGAAUUGCGCUUGUGACUGGCGUGCUGGAGUGUGGCAGAGGGAGGUGGAAUUCCACGUGUAGCAGUGAAAUGCGUAGAGAUGUGGAGGAACACCGAUGGCGAAGGCAGCCUCCUGGGCCAGCACUGACGCUCAUGCACGAAAGCGUGGGGAGCAAACAGG
RNAcentral lists this ribosomal RNA (254 nucleotides) under uncultured bacterium. RNAcentral's name for it is "partial 16S ribosomal RNA". It matches the Rfam family "Bacterial small subunit ribosomal RNA", at positions 524 to 776 of the family's 1533-position model. The record is from RNAcentral.